This is a long non-coding RNA of Lepidothrix coronata (blue-crowned manakin), 711 nucleotides long. RefSeq lists it as uncharacterized. The record is from RefSeq and is a predicted model, not a curated record. Lineage: Eukaryota; Metazoa; Chordata; Aves; Passeriformes; Pipridae. The transcript has 4 exons.
CACAAGCAUGGCACAGAUCUGGUGAGUCUCUUCAGCAUUUGCUCAGACCAUCAUAUCAAGUCCAGCGCUCACACACACACCAGCAUCUGAGGAGACCCCUGCUGCCUUCUGAGGACACCCCAGUGAAUAACUUGCAAAACUGCUACAGCCAAGAGUUUCAAACAGCUGCUCAAGCCCUUCAGAAAAACAAAGCUCUGAAAUCAUUAACAAACACUUGUGAUGUGCUCCCAUCUUGAAACAGAAAAUUGCUCCCCUUCAGCAGCUAACGGGGGCAAAUCUAGGAGGCAGCGGAUGCCCGUCCCGGCGGCGUGCGGCGGACGGCGGGGAUACACCUUUCCUUAUCUAUCCCUCGCUAUCAGAAAUGGAGACACUGUUAACGUUAACGUUACAAAAAUUCAGAGAACUGUGAAACCGUUUAGGAUGGGGGUGUCUGGAGCGGUAGGAACUGUGCGGGUUCUGUAUGUGGGGAGUUUUUUUAGCGAAAAAUAAAAUACAGAGAAGCUCCCUGAACAGCUCUGAGCGAUGGAUUUAUUUCGGAAACGGGCUUCAGUGACUCUGAAUUCUUACAAGCGUGUGUGUGUGUUAGUUGGGGGAAAUAUAUAAACCCACUGUGGAAAUUCUGAAUUUAUACAAGGAAAAAGUAUACUCUCUUCUAGGGCCGUCCACGCAACACAGUUGCACAAAACAGAAGACAGUUGUGAUUUUAGAAGU